ACUACAGCGGCGCCACCUUGGGAAAAAAAAAAAAAAAGCUAUGAGAAAGCUAUGAGAUCUUAGAACAAGGAUCUAGAGGAGGGCGCAGGUAUAUGAAGCAUGUUGAUUGGCAGCCAGGAACAGUUGUGUCCUGAUUGCCAAUUAGGAACAGGUGAGAGAGGCAAUGCUCAGGCCAGAGGGGAAGUGGCAGGAAAUGAAAGACAAGCAGGAAAUGGAAACCAUUAACCAAGAGCGAUGGAAAUAACACCCCGCACAGGGAAAACAACACAAGUCCAAAAACGGUCACAGAGGAUCAUGACACUCCCAUUAUGAGUGUUGUCACGGUUGGGGUUGCAGCUUGCUGCGGGAUCGUUCCUCCAAUGCUACAUGGACUACUCCGGACGACAGCGUGCAGCACAGUGUCUUUCAGCAGCACCUCCAACUACCACCACUCGUUUCAUCACGGCUGCUCCUAAUAAAGGCGACAGGUGAUUAGCUAACAAGGCCCACCUGUGCCAUCUACGCACCUGUCGCUGUCUUCGAGGCCGGUCCUGACACACCCUGUUCCGUGGCAGGCCCGCAGGCCGCGCCCCCUCCACAUAUACAGAGGCAUUUUAUUAUGGGAUACUCUUAAUUUAAAUAUUAGGACUAUUCCCAGUAUAAAAGCAUGUAAGAAUCAUGUAAAGUCACUUUUUUAGACUUAAGAGUUCAUCUUUCAUGUUAUCAGUUUGAGAAAAAAAAAAUUUCUCUUUCCCUUUUUCCUUUCUUUUAUUGUAACUGGAUUUAGUAUGUUCUGUAACUGGAUCUGUGUACUGUUAUUUUUUUUAUUAUUUUGAGAAUUUUCUUUUUCUUUUCCUUUUUCCUUUUUUUUUUAUUUGUAACUGGAUUUGUGUAUGUUUUGUAACUGGAUGUGUGAAUUAUUAUUUUACUUUGAACUUUUGAAGAGGACCCCAGGAAGACUAGCCUGGCGUUUGUGCGUCGGCUAAUGGGGAUCCUCAAUAAACAAUAAAUAAUAAGCAAACGAUUGGAACAAUUUCGGCAGAGAUUUGGACAGGCUGAGGGGGCAACUUCACACGGGUGAAUCACAAAACGUUAAUAACAUAACAACCAUAAUAGUUUGACCAAAAAUCUUUGCAGCACAAAU
Molecule: long non-coding RNA, 1123 nt
Organism: Entelurus aequoreus (snake pipefish)
Lineage: Eukaryota; Metazoa; Chordata; Actinopteri; Syngnathiformes; Syngnathidae
Exons: 3
Source: RefSeq, a predicted model, not a curated record